UACAGAGGUCCCAAGCGUUGUUCGGAUUCAUUGGGCGUAAAGGGUGCGUAGGCGGCGCGGUAAGUCGGGUGUGAAAUCUCGGAGCUUAACUCCGAAACUGCAUUCGAUACUGCCGUGCUUGAGGACUGGAGAGGAGGCUGGAAUUUACGGUGUAGCGGUGAAAUGCGUAGAUAUCGUAAGGAAGACCAGUGGCGAAGGCGGGUCUCUGGAACGCAACUGACGCUGAGACGCGAAAGCGUGGGGAGCAAACAGG
RNAcentral lists this ribosomal RNA (253 nucleotides) under uncultured bacterium. RNAcentral's name for it is "partial 16S ribosomal RNA". It matches the Rfam family "Bacterial small subunit ribosomal RNA", at positions 524 to 776 of the family's 1533-position model. The record is from RNAcentral.